RNAcentral lists this ribosomal RNA (420 nucleotides) under uncultured bacterium. RNAcentral describes it as "bacterial SSU rRNA". It matches the Rfam family "Bacterial small subunit ribosomal RNA", at positions 28 to 496 of the family's 1533-position model. The record is from RNAcentral.
GAUGAACGCUGGCGGUCUGCUUAACACAUGCAAGUCGAACGAACUCUUCGGAGUGAGUGGCGGACGGGUGAGUAACGCGUGAGAAUCUGCCUGUGGGUCGGGGACAACCACUGGAAACGGUGGCUAAUACCGGAUGAGCCGAAAGGUAAAAGAUUUAUUGCCCACAGAUGAGCUCGCGUCUGAUUAGCUAGUUGGUAAGGUAAAAGCGUACCAAGGCGACGAUCAGUAGCUGGUCUGAGAGGAUGAGCAGCCACACUGGGACUGAGACACGGCCCAGACUCCUACGGGAGGCAGCAGUGGGAAUUUUCCGCAAUGGGCGAAAGCCUGACGGAGCAAGACCGCGUGGGGGAGGAAGGUUUUUGGAUCGUAAACUUCUAUCAGCAGGGAAGAUAGUGACAGUACCUGACUAAGAAGCCCCCG